RNAcentral lists this ribosomal RNA (276 nucleotides) under uncultured bacterium. Its description in RNAcentral is "partial 16S ribosomal RNA". It matches the Rfam family "Bacterial small subunit ribosomal RNA", at positions 29 to 329 of the family's 1533-position model. The record is from RNAcentral.
AACGAACGCUGGCGGCAGGCCUCAAACAUGCAAGUCUAGGGGGUGUAGCAAUACAUCACCGGCGGACGGGUGCGUAACACGUGGGAAUAUACCUUUUGGUUCGGAACAACGCAGGGAAACUUGCGCUAAUACCGAAUGUGCCCCUUACGGGGAAAGAUUUAUCGCCUUUAGAGCGGCCCGCGUCUGAUUAGCUAGUUGGUGAGGUAAAGGCUCACCAAGGCUACGAUCAGUAGCUGGUCUGAGAGGAUGACCAGCCACAUUGGGACUGAGACACGG